UUUCUUUUCACUAGAGAGAGAAAGUGAAACCCUAAACUAUUCCAUCUAAACUAGCUCCUAUACCAUCAAAAGCAAGAGAAAUUAUACUAUUCCAUUCUAGCAAACAUUGGUGUUCAAUUGGUGCUCGUGGACUACUUAGAGGAGCAACACUUUGGGCUCUUGGAUCUUCAAAGCUUGCAUACAACAGGAAAAUCACGCUACAAAGGGAUGGGAGAAAAUGGAUACGGAGCAAAAUCAAAGGCCUGUGUGUUUUAGCAUGGUUUAUAUGGCAUUGAAGGAACCAAGCUACUUUUGCGGAUAAUCGUAUUGCAAAGAAGGUUGUUGUUGAUAGAGCGAGUAAGCUGGCGACAGAUUAUGGAGUAUAUAACACGAGCAUAUAUAUGGAGCUACUGCCACCCCGCAAACCAGUAGCUUGAGAUGGUGGAUGCCACCUGAGGGUGUGAUUGAAGUAAAAGCUGAUGCGACUGUGGGUGAAGAUGGAUGGGUGAGUCCGGACUCCAGAGGCUAUUGCGAUGGACUUCUUAGGGAAGAUUUUGUGGUCAGCUACCCGCCAAUGUCGUGCUUGGUGGCCACUUGAAGUGUCGGAAGGAAAGACCGCGCUGUUUGCAGCAAAAUUAGCUCACAAUCACAAAACUUCUUGGGUGAUGAUUAAAACUGAUUGUCAAAGCUUGGUAUAUAUGCUCUCAAGGGAGCUAUCAUGUCUUGUUAGUAUGUAAAAACUUUUUGUCUGCGGUUUGGUCUCAUGUGCAUAGGAAUAGCAAUUGUGUGGUAUAUCACCUCGCAAGAGUUAUUCCUUUUGGUAUUGAGCAACGGUGUGAGUGGUUCCCCCAAGUUGCGUCUUACAUGCUUAUGGACGUUUUGUCCCUCUCUUAAGUUAUGCACAACACCUUUCCUCUCAAAGAAACUCAUUAAUAAAACUACUCGUAUUAGUAUCAAAUUUUAAGAACAGUCAUUUCAUGAACCUUCAAUCUUGAGUACAUGAUGGACAGUGAAGUUUCUAUUACAUGGACAUUGACAUGGAAUUUUCUUAUAAAAUUUCUCAUAAUUAUUUUACGAUUAUCACAAUUUAUUACCAGUCUAUAGUCAUUUGUACGGGGCUUUGACGCAUUCUUGAUGUUACUGUGCUUUUUAUCUGAAUGGAUUUAGUCUAGUUGGAAGUACUGCUUUGGUUCACCUCAAUAAUCCACUGAAAUUUGUCAAUGGCUAUGUUCUUCCUUUCUCACUCGAGUAUUGUGUAUCAAGUAGGUUUUUUUUAUCAUUCUUUUUCUCUAAUACUAUUAUCUUACUUCUUGCCGAAAGAACAAAAAAAAAAGAAUAAACACAAAAAUGGAUUUACAUUAGCACAAAGCAGUUUGAUAUAUGUUUACAGACACGUAAAUGGUAUGUUUCUGUAUAGAAAUUAAUCCUACGCUGGCCCCAAAAUCAGCAUUGGCUGUAUAUUUUUGGUGAACUACAUUGGCUGUAUGAUCUGCAUAAUAUGAGAUUGUAAGAAUCAAUAUUCAUCCCAGUUCGUAGAACUAAUUACAGAACAAAGAAAAACUCGAAAUGAAAGGAAUAGAAAGGAAUACAUCAAUGCAUUACUUACUUCGUAAAAGACCAGAAAACUAGAAAAUGCAAAUAUAAGUACCUUCAGUUUCUCUGUCUGGUAAGUAAUACAAGGACGCCAAAGCCUACCAUGACUGCAAUCUUCAUUACCUGCAAAAAUUUGGAGAAUUUAAAUACUCUUUACGUGUUCCAAGUACAGUUUUGUGUAAUAAACUGAUGGAGAUUGAAGUCGAAACAGAACCUGCCCGGCUGGUCCAGGAAUAGAUAUAUCGUUAUGUCUUCUGCUGGACUCUGGUUUUUUACUUUGUGUAUGAUCACCAGUAUCCGGGAGCUGAAAUCGUAAUGAGGAAACAUAUUAGAGAAUUUCCUAAAAAAAAGAGUAAAUAAUUUUGAGGAGAUAACACAUAGCUAAAUGAAAAAUUUUAUAUAUGGGGAAGCUCUAAUUUUUCCUACUAGUAAUUCUGAAACAGCAUAUCACACAGCAAUAAGCAUGUAAACUGACAUUUGCACUUGUUGCUUCAACCAACUCGACUAACUCAUUUCAAUCAAUACUAAUGCAAGUUCUUUUGAAAAAGGUGCUAAGUUUGAUUAUUAGAAUUUCUGCCAAAUCAUCAAAAUAUUUUAUGCAUAUGAUCAAUGAGUGUUUUAGAUCUUAUUCAGAUGAAAGAGGAAGCAAAUACUAGUAUAAGCUUUUCUUGUACUGGUCAUCUAGCUGCAGACUGACCUUUUCUUGAUCAUUAUCUUGACUGCAAUUGGAACGACAACCUCCAAGUACAUCAACAAAUGGCCUAUCAUCACUUAAAACACAUGAGUGUAUCAUUUCAUCCAAAAACAUCCACCCACGAUAGUUAUCAAUCGAGUAACGCUUGUUCUCAUAAGAUAUUUUAGAUUUUACUCUACGUUGAGAAGAUUUCCAUUGUUUGCUUCUCCAUUUCUUCUCAAUGACAAGAGGAUCGUUGGAAGUAAAACCAUACUUCUUACUGAACAUAUCAGUUGAAAACUUCUUUCGUCUAGGUAAAGCUGCAAGAAG
Molecule: long non-coding RNA, 2575 nt
Organism: Beta vulgaris subsp. vulgaris (sugar beet)
Lineage: Eukaryota; Viridiplantae; Streptophyta; Magnoliopsida; Caryophyllales; Amaranthaceae
Exons: 2
Source: RefSeq, a predicted model, not a curated record